This 902-nucleotide ribosomal RNA is filed under the name uncultured bacterium. Its description in RNAcentral is "bacterial SSU rRNA". It matches the Rfam family "Bacterial small subunit ribosomal RNA", at positions 33 to 926 of the family's 1533-position model. The record is from RNAcentral.
ACGCUGGCGGCAGGCUUAACACACGCAAGUCGAACGGUAACAGGGAUUAGCUUGCUAAUUUGCUGACGAGUGGCGGACGGGUGAGUAAUGCUUGGGAAUCUGGCUUAUGGAGGGGGAUAACUACGGGAAACUGUAGCUAAUACCGCGUAAAAUCUUCGGAUUAAAGGGUGGGACUUUCGAGCCACCUGCCAUAAGAUGAGCCCAAGUGGGAUUAGGUAGUUGGUUAGGUAAAGGCUGACCAAGCCGACGAUCUCUAGCUGGUCUGAGAGGAUGACCAGCCACACUGGAACUGAGACACGGUCCAGACUCCUACGGGAGGCAGCAGUGGGGAAUAUUGCACAAUGGGGGGAACCCUGAUGCAGCCAUGCCGCGUGAAUGAAGAAGGCCUUCGGGUUGUAAAGUUCUUUCGGUGACGAGGAAGGUUGAUAGGUUAAUAGCCUAUCAAAUUGACGUUAAUCACAGAAGAAGCACCGGCUAACUCCGUGCCAGCAGCCGCGGUAAUACGGGGGGUGCGAGCGUUAAUUGGAAUAACUGGGCGUAAAGGGCACGCAGGCGGUGACUUAAGUGAGAUGUGAAAGCCCCGAGCUUAACUUGGGAAUUGCAUUUCAUACUGGGUCGCUAGAGUACUUUAGGGAGGGGUAGAAUUCCACGUGUAGCGGUGAAAUGCGUAGAGAUGUGGAGGAAUACCGAAGGCGAAGGCAGCCCCUUGGGAAUGUACUGACGCUCAUGUGCGAAAGCGUGGGGAGCAAACAGGAUUAGAUACCCUGGUAGUCCACGCUGUAAACGAUGUCGAUUUGGGGAUUGGGCUUUGAGCUUGGUGCCCGUAGCUAACGUGAUAAAUCGACCGCCUGGGGAGUACGGCCGCAAGGUUAAAACUCAAAUGAAUUGACGGGGGCCCGCAC